This 253-nucleotide ribosomal RNA is filed under the name uncultured bacterium. RNAcentral's name for it is "partial 16S ribosomal RNA". It matches the Rfam family "Bacterial small subunit ribosomal RNA", at positions 524 to 776 of the family's 1533-position model. The record is from RNAcentral.
UACGGGGGGGGCAAGCGUUAUUCGGAAUUACUGGGCGUAAAGGGCUCGUAGGCGGCCAACUAAGUCAGACGUGAAAUCCCCAGGCUUAACCUGGGAACUGCGUCUGAUACUGGAUGGCUUGAAUUCGGGAGAGGGAUGCAGAAUUCCAGGUGUAGCGGUGAAAUGCGUAGAUAUCUGGAGGAAUACCGGUGGCGAAGGCGGCAUCCUGGACCGACAUUGACGCUGAGGAGCGAAAGCUAGGGGAGCAAACGGG